AGUCGGGGAGCCUUAUCGGCUGAGAUCGCCACGCGAGACCCGUUGAACCUGAUUCAGUUAAUACUGACGUAGGGAACUA
Molecule: non-coding RNA, 79 nt
Filed under: Vibrio vulnificus
Lineage: Bacteria; Pseudomonadati; Pseudomonadota; Gammaproteobacteria; Vibrionales; Vibrionaceae
Description: TPP riboswitch (THI element)
Rfam family: TPP riboswitch aptamer (THI element)
About the family: Vitamin B(1) in its active form thiamin pyrophosphate (TPP) is an essential coenzyme that is synthesised by coupling of pyrimidine and thiazole moieties in bacteria. The previously detected thiamin-regulatory element, thi box was extended, resulting in a new, highly conserved RNA secondary structure, the THI element, which is widely distributed in eubacteria and also occurs in some archaea. Analysis of operon structures identified a large number of new candidate thiamin-regulated genes, mostly transporters, in various prokaryotic organisms.
Source: RNAcentral